UGGCAGAGUGUUGGUAACUUGAGCCACUCAAAAGUGAGGGUUUCACUUCCCUUUUGGUUCUCUGAAUAUAUCUGGGACCAGAAGGUGUGCGUGGUUUAUUGCAGAGACACACAGAAGGCAGCUGCAUCUGCAGAGCUGAGAACAGCUGGAUCUUGUUCACACUCAGCCAGAGGAAAACUCCUGGGAAGGUGUGCUGCUGACACAGACUAUCUAACAACUGGUUACACUCAGAUGCCUGUGGAGCUGGUCUGGACCCAGUCUCUGCGACAAGGACAAUUGGUGAGGAGCACCUUGUACUGUCCCAGUGAGGCUCUCAAGCCAUCUGUGGUGUUGCCCGUCACCCUGCACAUGGCCCCACACUGCUCAGCCACCCCUGCUUAGCCCCUGCACUUCUGAAGGAUGUUGAAGCCAGUCUUGACUUUAAAGUACCUUUUUCAAAAGAAACCUUUGGGGACUUCCCUGGUGGUCCAGUGGUAAAGAAGCUGCCUGCCAAUGCAGGGGACACAGGUUUGAUCCCUGGUCCGGGAAGAUCCAACAUGCUGGGAGCAACUAAGCCCGUGCACCGCCACUACUGAGCCCGCUCCCUAGAGCCCGUGCUCUGCAAAAAGAGAAGCCACUGCAAUGAGAAGCCCAUGUACUCGACGAAGAGUAGCGCACUCGAAGCAACUAGAGAAAGCAGCCCCUGCCCGCACAGCAGUGAAGACCCAGGGCAGUCAGAUAAACAAAUAAGGACGCUGUUUCCCUAGCUACCUAAGGUAAAGCCUCCUGAGCCCCACUAUCUACUGCCCCCUUGGUUAGAAAUGCACAUGGGCACAGACUCCAGCAGGUAAGGUCCCUACAGAGUUGAGGUUCUGUGUUUCUUACCAGUCCCGUGCUAACUCCAGCUGCCCCCUCCUGCGUCCCUGCAGCCCCAAUCUCCCUGCACCAGGAGAAGGCUGCCCACAGAGCAGCAGGGCCAACCCAGACUCCAGGCCCCUUCCCUGGCCUUGGCCUUGCUCCAGGGCUCUGUGAUGGCCGGGGUGCCACGUGGUCAGCAGCCGGCUCUCCUCCUCUGGAUCGAAACCCUGGAGCUCUAGAGCAACCUGUACCGCAUGGGCCAGAGCAAGGUCUUCUUUUGGGCCGGCGUGCUGGCCCACCUGAGGAGGAGCAGGACCUGAAGAUCACGGACGUCAUCAUCGGCUUCCAGGCCUGCUGCUGGGGCUAUCUGGCCAGGAGGUGUGACAACCAGAGCUGGCUGUCCCCAGAGGACCCAAGCUCUAGAAAGGUGGCAUCCUUGAGUCCUGGCAGCUCCAGCAAGCUAGGAGCGGACUUGUGCAGGUCAGUGGGCAGGGCAGCGGCCUGUUUGCCCCUUGACUCCC
Long non-coding RNA from Bos indicus x Bos taurus (hybrid cattle), 1358 nucleotides. Lineage: Eukaryota; Metazoa; Chordata; Mammalia; Artiodactyla; Bovidae. The record is from Ensembl.